This 654-nucleotide ribosomal RNA is filed under the name Norape ovina. RNAcentral's name for it is "partial 28S ribosomal RNA". It matches the Rfam family "Eukaryotic large subunit ribosomal RNA", at positions 407 to 825 of the family's 3401-position model. Lineage: Eukaryota; Metazoa; Arthropoda; Insecta; Lepidoptera; Megalopygidae. The record is from RNAcentral.
GUUCAGGGGUAAACCUGCGAAACUCGAAUGAACGAACGGAGAGAUUCAUCGUCAAUCCUCGGCGUGCGUGCGCGUGCCUCGAUGGUGCCGACCUCGGUCGGCGGCCACGGGUCGCGUACGUAUACGUACGGGGACGGCGUGCACUUCUCUCUUAGUAAUGCAUCGCGACCCGUUCGAUGUCGGCCUGAGCGCCGUCCGGGAGCCCUGGUGCCCUUUCGAGGGCGCCAGGACCGCGGCGGUGGCCGGCCGGCCGUCGGACGGUAGUGUACGUGAAUCGCGCACGCGUCUAUACGCGUCAGGCCCGACGCAAGGCAACGCCGACGCUGGGGUCCUGCCUUUCGGCGGACUCCGGUGCGGCGCGCCUGUCGUCGCAGCCGUGCAGUCUCUGACAGUGCGCGUCUCUGUCUGCGAUGAUUCAGUUUCGGGCACUCGCAGGACCCGUCUUGAAACACGGACCAAGGAGUCUAGCAUGUGUGCGAGUCAUUGAGAUUACAAAAACUGAAAGGCGCAACGAAAGUGAAGGCGUGCGCUAGUCGCGCGCUCAGGGAGGAUGGAGCGUCGGUCUAUAUCGGCCUCUCGCACUCCCGAGGCGUCUCGUUUCCAAUCUGUGAAUGCAGGCGCGCUCUGAGCACAGAUGCUGGGACCCGAAAGAUG